RNAcentral lists this ribosomal RNA (660 nucleotides) under uncultured Flavobacteriales bacterium. RNAcentral describes it as "bacterial SSU rRNA". It matches the Rfam family "Bacterial small subunit ribosomal RNA", at positions 61 to 718 of the family's 1533-position model. Lineage: Bacteria; Pseudomonadati; Bacteroidota; Flavobacteriia; Flavobacteriales. The record is from RNAcentral.
GUCGAGGGGUAUAGGGUGCUUGCACUUUAGAGACCGGCGGACGGGUGCGUAACGCGUAUGCAAUCUACCUUGUACAGGGGGAUAGCCCGGGGAAAUUCGGAUUAAUACUCCAUAAUAUAAUAGGAUGGCAUCAUUUUAUUAUUAAAGUUGUAAAAUGGUACAAGAUGAGCAUGCGUCCCAUUAGCUAGUUGGUAGGGUAACGGCUUACCAAGGCGAUGAUGGGUAGGGGUCCUGAGAGGGAUGUCCCCCACACUGGUACUGAGACACGGACCAGACUCCUACGGGAGGCAGCAGUGAGGAAUAUUGGUCAAUGGGCGGAAGCCUGAACCAGCCAUGCCGCGUGCAGGAAGAAGGUUCUAUGGAUUGUAAACUGCUUUUAUACAGGAAGAAAUGGUCUCUUGCGAGGGAUUUUGACGGUACUGUAGGAAUAAGGAUCGGCUAACUCCGUGCCAGCAGCCGCGGUAAUACGGAGGAUCCGAGCGUUAUCCGGAAUUAUUGGGUUUAAAGGGUUCGUAGGCGGGCUUAUAAGUCAGUGGUGAAAUUUCGAGGCUCAACCUCGAAAUUGCCGUUGAUACUGUUGGUCUUGAAUAUUUGUGAGGUAGUUAGAAUAUGUAGUGUAGCGGUGAAAUGCUUAGAUAUUACAUGGAAUACCGAUUGCGA